This 245-nucleotide ribosomal RNA is filed under the name uncultured Staphylococcus sp. RNAcentral describes it as "partial 16S ribosomal RNA". It matches the Rfam family "Bacterial small subunit ribosomal RNA", at positions 95 to 334 of the family's 1533-position model. The record is from RNAcentral. Lineage: Bacteria; Bacillati; Bacillota; Bacilli; Caryophanales; Staphylococcaceae.
CGGGCGGACGGGUGAGUAACACGUGGAUAACCUACCUAUAAGACUGGGAUAACUUCGGGAAACCGGAGCUAAUACCGGAUAAUAUAUUGAACCGCAUGGUUCAAUAGUGAAAGACGGUUUUGCUGUCACUUAUAGAUGGAUCCGCGCCGCAUUAGCUAGUUGGUAAGGUAACGGCUUACCAAGGCAACGAUGCGUAGCCGACCUGAGAGGGUGAUCGGCCACACUGGAACUGAGACACGGUCCAG